UGCGUAGGCGGGUCUUUAAGUCAGGGGUGAAAUCCUGGAGCUCAACUCCAGAACUGCCUUUGAUACUGAGGAUCUUGAGUCCGGGAGAGGUGAGUGGAAUUGCGAGUGUAGAGGUGAAAUUCGUAGAUAUUCGCAAGAACACCAGUGGCGAAGGCGGCUCACUGGCCCGGUACUGACGCUGAGGCACGAAAGCGUGGGAGCAAACA
This 206-nucleotide ribosomal RNA is filed under the name uncultured bacterium. Its description in RNAcentral is "partial 16S ribosomal RNA". It matches the Rfam family "Bacterial small subunit ribosomal RNA", at positions 568 to 774 of the family's 1533-position model. The record is from RNAcentral.